Molecule: ribosomal RNA, 794 nt
Filed under: uncultured bacterium
Lineage: Bacteria
Description: bacterial SSU rRNA
Rfam family: Bacterial small subunit ribosomal RNA
Source: RNAcentral
AGAGUUUGAUCAUGGCUCAGGAUGAACGCUAGCGGCAGGCUUAAUACAUGCAAGUCGAGGGGCAGCAGGGGUGUAGCAAUACACUCGCUGGCGACCGGCAAACGGGUGCGGAACACGUACGCAAUCUACCCAAAACUGAUGAAUAGCCCUCCGAAAGGAGGAUUAAUACAUCGUAACAUCAUGCAGUGGCAUCACUAUAUGAUUAUAGCUCCGGCGGUUUUGGAUGAGCGUGCGCCUGAUUAGGUAGUUGGCGGGGUAACGGCCCACCAAGCCUGCGAUCAGUAACUGGUGUGAGAGCACGACCAGUCACACGGGCACUGAGACACGGGCCCGACUCCUACGGGAGGCAGCAGUAAGGAAUAUUGGUCAAUGGACGCAAGUCUGAACCAGCCAUGCCGCGUGAAGGAUGAAGGUCCUCUGGAUUGUAAACUUCUUUUAUGUGGGACGAAACCUCUUAUUCUUAAGAGACUGACGGUACCAUAGGAAUAAGCACCGGCUAACUCCGUGCCAGCAGCCGCGGUAAUACGGAGGGUGCAAGCGUUAUCCGGAUUCACUGGGUUUAAAGGGAGCGUAGGAGGGCAGGUAAGUCAGUGGUGAAAUCUUCGAGCUUAACUCGGAAACUGCCGUUGAUACUAUCUGUCUUGAAUACCGUGGAGAUGAGCGGAAUAUCAUGUAGCGGUGAAAUGCUUAGAUAUGACAUAGAACACCAAUUGCGAAGGCAGCUCGUUACACGAAUAUUGACUCUGAGGCUCGAAAGCGUGGGGAUCAAACAGGAUUAGAUACCCUAGUAGUCC